CCGACGCUACUACCUCCGGCUGGUCUGAGCUUUAACAAUCUUGUGUGACGCUGAGGAACCUUUGCUCGUGCGCGGCAGCUGUGACGUCGUUCGGCAUAUCAUCGAAAUAUUAUCUUGGAGAGGGUGUCAUUUGCGUUUACUUCUAUUUGCAAGAAAACAAGACUACGAAGACACGUAAGAGAGGGAUCGAGCAGUCUAGAGAAGAAAGUCUCACCGCGGAUUGAAGGCACAACUCAGGCUACAGUAUAUUCUUGUGUAGGCCUACCGAGUGGAAUUUCCGUAACUCCCCGAGAAAAUUUACGAGCACCGAGUUGAUGGGGUUUCCGUGCUUGCCCGAAUCUUACCACCUAAUAUCUUUACAAGAACUCCUCGGAACUCAGUUGCUCCCCUCUAUCACACGAAACGUCUCUAUCAGGGAUGAGGACUGUUACGAAUGUUAUGCCUACGUUUUUACAAAAAAAGCACGCG
Molecule: long non-coding RNA, 468 nt
Organism: Acromyrmex echinatior (Panamanian leafcutter ant)
Lineage: Eukaryota; Metazoa; Arthropoda; Insecta; Hymenoptera; Formicidae
Source: RefSeq, a predicted model, not a curated record